Molecule: ribosomal RNA, 292 nt
Filed under: uncultured bacterium
Lineage: Bacteria
Description: partial 16S ribosomal RNA
Rfam family: Bacterial small subunit ribosomal RNA
Source: RNAcentral
GUGUCAGCAGCCGCGGUAAUACGUAGGGUGCGAGCGUUAAUCGGAAUUACUGGGCGUAAAGCGUGCGCAGGCGGUUUUAUAAGCCAGAUGUGAAAGCCCCGGGCUCAACCUGGGAAUGGCAUUUGGGACUGUAAGGCUGGAGUAUGGCAGAGGAGACUAGAAUUCCUGGUGUAGCAGUGAAAUGCGUAGAUAUCAGGAGGAAUACCGAUGGCGAAGGCAGGUCUCUGGGCCAAUACUGACGCUCAUGCACGAAAGCGUGGGGAGCAAACAGGAUUAGAUACCCUAGUAGUCC